Molecule: ribosomal RNA, 421 nt
Filed under: uncultured bacterium
Lineage: Bacteria
Description: bacterial SSU rRNA
Rfam family: Bacterial small subunit ribosomal RNA
Source: RNAcentral
GGGAAUCUUCCACAAUGGGCGAAAGCCUGAUGGAGCAACGCUGCGUGGGUGAAGAAGGACUUCGGAUCGUAAAACCCUGUUGUUAGAGAAGAAAGUGCGUGAGAGUAACUGUUCACGUUUCGACGGUAUCUAACCAGAAAGCCACGGCUAACUACGUGCCAGCAGCCGCGGUAAUACGUAGGUGGCAAGCGUUAUCCGGAUUUAUUGGGCGUAAAGAGAACGCAGGCGGUCUUUUAAGGCUGAUGUGAAAGCCCCCGGCUCAACCGGGGAGGGUCAUUGGAAACUGGGAGACUUGAGUGCAGAAGAGGAGAGUGGAAUUCCAUGUGUAGCGGUGAAAUGCGUAGAUAUAUGGAAGAACACCAGUGGCGAAAGCGGCUCUCUGGUCUGUAACUGACGCUGAGGUUCGAAAGCGUGGGUAGCA